UUCCUGGCUCAGAACGAACGCUGGCGGCAUGCCUAACACAUGCAAGUCGAACGGACGAAUUUGGUUCGCCAAGUUCGUUAGUGGCAGACGGGUGAGUAAUACAUAGGAAUCUGCCUCGUAGAGAAGGAUAAUCGUUGGAGACAGCGACUAAUACUUCAUAUUGCCGAGAGGUGAAAGAUUUUAUCGCUACGAGAUGAGCCUAUGCAGGAUUAGCUAGUUGGUGGGGUAAAGGCCUACCAAGGCUGUGAUCUUUAGUUGGUCUGAGAGGAUGAUCAGCCACACUGGAACUGAGAUACGGUCCAGACUCCUACGGGAGGCAGCAGUGGGGAAUUUUUGACAAUGGGCGAAAGCCUGAUCGAGCAAUGCCGCGUGAGUGAUGAAGGCCUUAGGGUUGUAAAGCUCUUUUAGUAGCGAUGAUAAUGACAGUAGCUACAGAAAAAGUCCCGGCUAACUUCGUGCCAGCAGCCGCGGUAAUACGAAGGGGGCUAGCGUUACUCGGAAUUACUGGGCGUAAAGCGUGCGUAGGUUGUUUUGUAAGUUGGUAGUUAAAUUCUCGAGCUCAACUCGAGGCCUGAUAUCAAAACUGCAAGACUAGAGUACUGGAGAAGAUAGUGGAAUUCCUAGUGUAGAGGUGGAAUUCGUAGAUAUUAGGAGGAACACCAGAGGCGAAAGCGACUAUCUGGCCAGAGACUGACACUGUUGCACGAAAGCGUGGGGAGCAAACAGGAUUAGAUACCCUGGUAGUCCACGCAGUAAACGAUGAGUGCUAGGUGUUGGGACUAAGGUCUCGGUGCCGUAGCUAACGCGUUAAGCACUCCGCCCGAAGAGUACGGUCGCAAGAUUAAAACUCAAAGGAAUUGACGGGGACCCGCACAAGCGGUGGAACAUGUGGUUUAAUUCGAUACUACGCGAAAAACCUUACCAGGUCUUGACAUGAUAGUCGUAUCCUUGUGAAAGCGAGGAGUCAUUUAGUUGGACUAUCACAGGUGUUGCAUGGCUGUCGUCAGCUCGUGUCGUGAGAUGUUGGGUUAAGUCCCGCAACGAGCGCAACCCUUUCCCUUAGUUACCAACGGUUCGGCCGGGGACUUUAAGGGUACUGCUAGCGAAAGCUGGAGGAAGGUGGGGAUGAUGUCAAGUCAGCAUGGCCCUUAUGACCUGGGCCACACACGUGUUACAAUGGUGAUUACAAUGGGCUGCAAUAGGGCGACCUAAAGCCAAUCCUAAAAAAUCAUCUCAGUUCGGAUUGCACCCUGCAACUCGGGUGCAUGAAGUCGGAAUCGCUAGUAAUCGCAGAUCAGCAUGCUGCGGUGAAUACGUUCCCGGGUCUUGUACACACUGCCCGUCACUCCGUGGAAGUUGGUCUUGCCUUAAGUACAUGUGCUAACCGCAAGGAGGCAGUGUACCACGGUAAGGCCGAUAACUAGGGGGAAGUCGUAACAAGGUAGCCGUAGGGGAACCUGCGGCUGGAUCACCUCCA
Molecule: ribosomal RNA, 1477 nt
Filed under: Pseudolyticum multiflagellatum
Lineage: Bacteria; Pseudomonadati; Pseudomonadota; Alphaproteobacteria; Rickettsiales; Candidatus Midichloriaceae
Description: bacterial SSU rRNA
Rfam family: Bacterial small subunit ribosomal RNA
Source: RNAcentral